Molecule: long non-coding RNA, 1159 nt
Organism: Passer domesticus (house sparrow)
Lineage: Eukaryota; Metazoa; Chordata; Aves; Passeriformes; Passeridae
Exons: 12
Source: RefSeq, a predicted model, not a curated record
GCUCACCAAGGUAUUUCAGCCUUGCAGGGAACUUAAAUUACAGCUGACAUACAGGUGAGAAAAAGUUUUUCCAGGUUUUUCUCCUUAAAAGAGAAUUGAGAAGUUUCACGAGGCAAAGGAGCCUUUAGCCACUCUCUGCUUUAUUUAAGACAACCCAUUUUGGUGGUUCUGGUAGUUGAAAAUCCAGGCUCAGGAGUUUCUAAGUUCUUCAGACCUGUCCCCACCACAGGUGACUCCUCUGCAGGGACGUGUCCUGCUGUCCUUGAGUUUACUUGCUGAACUUAGUGCUGAAAGGAGGUGAUGGAAGGACAGGGCUGGCUCUUGCUGAAAAGGCUUUGGCAAGGCGGGAUCUUACAACAUCAAACCCUCCCAAAGGCAGAUUCCCACAAAGUGCUUGCACAGCACAGAAAAGUUUAAGUGCUGGCACCGAGACAGAACUGCUUAUUCCUCUUUGUGUCAGAGCUGACCAGAAUUGUUAUUUGAGGACUAGGUGAUAUUUUCUGGGAAGCACGAACUGAGAUAUUCUUUCUAUGUAACUUAAAGCAAAUCACUGAGGAGAAUGAGGUGUAAAAUCAGGGCUGUUCUAGACCAAGUGGACUGUCAAAUCCUUUAAUCCUGGGAUAGCAGAGUGUACUUUGUGUGUGAGGCUGAGAUUUUCCCUGGCCUGCACAGCAGCUCCGAGGUUCUGCUGCCAUGAGAGAGGGAAAACAGCCCAAGUCAGAGGGAUGCAGACAACUGCAGUGGAAAUUGACACAGCCAGGUAACAGAAACAGGUCAGCAUUCUGAAGGCAUCAAUACAGCCAGUCAAUAAGGAGGAGAGGAAGAGCUCCCUGGGCAAGUGGAAUAACUAAUUUUGUAGAAAUAGUCAACAUUUGGGUCACCACAGCAGAGGGAUCCAGGAAUGGCAUUGGGAGAUCAUCUCCCAAGGAAUGUGACCACCACUUCCACUGGCUACCAGAGGCAAUUGGGCUUUCAUCUGCUCUGUGAACCAAAAGAGAUUUUGCCAGCAAAAGGUGAAAUACUGUGAAAGCAGGACUGAGGAGGGAGGCUGAGGAUGUUGCCGUGGUCAGAAAUCACAGAAAUGAGUCGUGUGACACAGUGGAAGUUUGCAUCCUUCCCCUGUAGCAGCGGGCAUGGAGCAGACGCUCUUUUAAUUGGA